UACGGAGGGUGCGAGCGUUGUCCGGAUUUAUUGGGUUUAAAGGGUGCGUAGGUGGCUUGAUAAGUCAGUGGUGAAAUACAGCCGCUCAACGGUUGAGGUGCCAUUGAUACUGUCAAGCUUGAAAGAAUUGGAGGCUGCCGGAAUGGAUGGUGUAGCGGUGAAAUGCAUAGAUAUCAUCCAGAACACCGAUUGCGAAGGCAGGUGGCUACGAUUUAUUUGACACUGAGGCACGAAAGCAUGGGGAGCAAACAGG
This 253-nucleotide ribosomal RNA is filed under the name uncultured bacterium. RNAcentral's name for it is "partial 16S ribosomal RNA". It matches the Rfam family "Bacterial small subunit ribosomal RNA", at positions 524 to 776 of the family's 1533-position model. The record is from RNAcentral.